RNAcentral lists this microRNA precursor (84 nucleotides) under Bombyx mori (domestic silkworm). RNAcentral describes it as "mir-2807 microRNA precursor family". It matches the Rfam family "mir-2807 microRNA precursor family". The record is from Rfam by way of RNAcentral. Lineage: Eukaryota; Metazoa; Arthropoda; Insecta; Lepidoptera; Bombycidae.
UUAACUUAAAUUUGUGUGGAGUUGGAACGCUUGCCUACGUUUGCCACUAGGGACGCUGUUCCAACUGCAUACAAAUUUGAGUUA